RNAcentral lists this ribosomal RNA (484 nucleotides) under uncultured bacterium. Its description in RNAcentral is "partial 16S ribosomal RNA". It matches the Rfam family "Bacterial small subunit ribosomal RNA", at positions 29 to 507 of the family's 1533-position model. The record is from RNAcentral.
AUUGAACGCUGGCGGCAUGCUUUACACAUGCAAGUCGAACGGCGGCGCGGGCUUCGGCCUGGCGGCGAGUGGCGAACGGGUGAGUAAUACAUCGGAACGUGCCCAGUAGUGGGGGAUAGCUCGGCGAAAGGCGGAUUAAUACCGCAUACGACCUGAGGGUGAAAGCGGGGGAUCUUCGGACCUCGCGCUAUUGGAGCGGCCUAUGGCAGAUUAGCUAGUUGGUGGGGUAAAGGCCUACCAAGGCGACGAUCUGUAGCUGGUCUGAGAGGACGACCAGCCACACUGGGACUGAGACACGGCCCAGACUCCUACGGGAGGCAGCAGUGGGGAAUGUUGGACAAUGGGCGAAAGCCUGAUCCAGCCAUGCCGCGUGUGUGAUGAAGGCCUUCGGGUUGUAAAGCACUUUUGGCGGGGACGAAAAGGACUGUGCCAAUACCACGGUUCGAUGACGGUACCCGCAGAAUAAGCACCGGCUAACUACGUG